Molecule: ribosomal RNA, 274 nt
Filed under: uncultured bacterium
Lineage: Bacteria
Description: partial 16S ribosomal RNA
Rfam family: Bacterial small subunit ribosomal RNA
Source: RNAcentral
AUACGGAUGGUGCGAGCGUUGUUCGGAAUUACUGGGCGUAAAGGGCGCGUAGGCGGUUUAGUAAGUCAGAUGUGAAAGCCCUCGGCUUAACCGAGGAAGUGCAUCUGAAACUGUUAGACUUGAGUAUGGGAGAGGAAAGUGGAAUUCCCGGUGUAGAGGUGAAAUUCGUAGAGAUCGGGAGGAAUACCGGUGGCGAAGGCGACUUUCUGGACCAAUACUGACGCUGAGGCGCGAAAGCGUGGGGAGCAAACAGGAUUAGAUACCCUAGUAGUCC